CUUUUAGGUCGGUGGGAGGUUUUAAAGGUGGAACUCUCACCAACUCUUCUUCUUUUACUCACCAUCUCUCUCUCUCUCUCUCUCUCUCUCUCUCUCUCUCUCUCUCUCUUCUAGGCGGGUUAUCUUUAUGGAGUUCUCUGGCUGCUUUUAGGCGAUUCCUCGGCGAGUAUCUGGCGAAUGUGGGUAAGUUAACUAUUGAAUCAAGACGUUCUGUCACAAGCUUUUUCAAAUUUUUAGGGCAAUCAUUGGUCUCUAGGAAAAGUAAGAAGCAAGGAAUCGUCUCAAGGUUCCUACUGAGGCUGAGUACAGAUCCAUGUGUGUUGUCACAUGUGAAAUUUUAUGGUUUAUAACAGUCUUGAAGGAGUUGCAUGUUCCCAUCGGUCUUCCCAUUGACUAAUUUUGUGAAAACAAGGUUGCCAUCUCCAUCACUGCAAAUCCAAUGUUUCAUGGUAGGACGAAACAUCUCAAACUGGAUCUUUUCUUCCUCUGUUACGGUUGGUCUAAUCAAAACUAUGGUUGUGGAUUCUAACAAACAACUGGUUGACGUCUUUACAAAAGGCCUUUGUCCAUGGUUGGCUUCUUGGGUUCCUCAUGGGUCGACUUGUGUUGAAGUCUCAAGCCGCCCUUUGUGAGAACGUACGUCAGCUUCUAUUCUUGGCUUGUUUAUUUCUUCAUGGUGAUUCUGACAAGUUUCCUUAUGGGUUAUGUGGAGCUGUCUUAGAUUGAUUGAUAUUGACAAUUGUGGGUAGUGAAGGAAAUCUUAUGGGUUGAUUGAUUAAAUUCAUAUUAUGGUUCAUCAAUUAUUUUAAUAGUGAUUGCUCUUUCCUCUCUUAAUAAAAGAUUCGUUGGUGUCCCUUCUUUUUA
Long non-coding RNA from Helianthus annuus (common sunflower), 864 nucleotides. RefSeq lists it as uncharacterized. The transcript has 2 exons. Lineage: Eukaryota; Viridiplantae; Streptophyta; Magnoliopsida; Asterales; Asteraceae. The record is from RefSeq and is a predicted model, not a curated record.